GAUGAAUGCUGGCGGCGUGCCUAAUACAUGCAAGUCGAGCGGACCAAAGAGAGCUUGCUCUCUGAGGUUAGCGGCGGACGGGUGAGUAACACGUGGGUAACCUGCCUGUAAGACGGGGAUAACUUCGGGAAACCGAAGCUAAUACCGGAUGAUAAAGAGAAACGCCUGUUUCUUUUUUGAAAGUCGGCCUUGUGCUGACGCUUACAGAUGGGCCCGCGGCGCAUUAGCUAGUUGGUGAGGUAACGGCUCACCAAGGCGACGAUGCGUAGCCGACAUGAGAGUGUGAUCCGCCACACUGGGACUGAGACACGGGCCAGACUCCUACGGGAGGCAGCAGUAGGGAAUCUUCGGCAAUGGACGCAAGUCUGACCGAGCAACGCCGCGUGAGCGAUGAAGGCCUUCGGGUCGUAAAGCUCUGUUGUCAGAGAAGAACAAGUACCGGAGUAACUGCCGGUACCUUGACGGUACCUGACCAGAAAGCCACGGCUAACUACGUGCCAGCCGCCGCAGUAA
RNAcentral lists this ribosomal RNA (513 nucleotides) under uncultured bacterium. RNAcentral describes it as "partial 16S ribosomal RNA". It matches the Rfam family "Bacterial small subunit ribosomal RNA", at positions 28 to 523 of the family's 1533-position model. The record is from RNAcentral.